Molecule: ribosomal RNA, 830 nt
Filed under: uncultured bacterium
Lineage: Bacteria
Description: bacterial SSU rRNA
Rfam family: Bacterial small subunit ribosomal RNA
Source: RNAcentral
GGAGCGUCGAUCGGCUAUGCAGUCUCGAAGUGAAAGACGGCGGCUCAUCCCCCCGACUGCUCUUGUACUGUAGACUAGAGUGCAGCAGGGGGUAAGUGGAAUCUAGUGUAGCGUGAGAUGACGUAGAUAUUAGAGGAAGCACCAGUGGCGAAGACGGCGUACUGGACUGUAACUGACGUUGAGGCUCGAAAGCGUGGGGAGCAAACAGGAUUAGAUACCCUGGUAGUCCACGCCGUAAACGAUGAUUACUAGGUGUCGGUGGGUCGAGACCCAUCGGUGCCGUCGCAAACGCAGUAAGUAAUCCACCUGGGGAGUACGUUCGCAAGAAUGAAACUUAAAGGAAUUGACGGGGACCCGCACAAGCGGUGGAGCAUGUGGUUUAAUUUGAAGCAACGCGAAGAACCUUACCUGGUCUUGACAUCCCGGUGAAUGCAGGGCAAUGCCUGCAGCCCUUCGGGGCACUGGAGACAGGUGGUGCAUGGUUGUCGUCAGCUCGUGUCGUGAGAUGUUGGGUUAAGUCCCGCAACGAGCGCAACCCUUAUCCUUAGUAGCCAGCGGUUAGGCCGGGCACUCUAGGGAGACUGCCGGGGGCAACCCGGAGGAAGGCGGGGAGGACAUCAAAUCAUCAUGCCCCUUAUGGCCAGGGGUACACACGUGCUACAAUGGCGCAAACAGAGGGAAGCGGACCGGUGACGGCGAGCGAAUCCCAAAAAAAAAGUCUCAGUUCGGAUUGUAGUUUGCAACUCGACUACAUGAAGCCGGAAUCGCUAGUAAUCGCGGAUCAGAAUGCCGCGGUGAAUACGUUCCCGGGUCUUGUACACACCGCCCGU